This is a long non-coding RNA of Engraulis encrasicolus (European anchovy), 1233 nucleotides long. RefSeq lists it as uncharacterized. The record is from RefSeq and is a predicted model, not a curated record. NCBI's taxonomy places the organism in Eukaryota, Metazoa, Chordata, Actinopteri, Clupeiformes, Engraulidae. The transcript has 3 exons.
UCAUUGUUGGCGUUUGAACGGCAAGCCGCCUGUGGUAUGCCACCUGUGUCCGACAUCGGACCACUGACGGUUACAAAACACACAAGGCAUCGGUGGAUUUUGGUUGGCAAUCCGACAUAGUGCACGAGUACUCUGCAGGGUCCAAACAGCGGCAUGCUACCUGACAAGCCACCUACGUGAGAGCCAGGUUACAUGCUACCAGCCCCUAGCACCAAGGAGGACCGGCUACUCAUUUGGUGCCAGCAUCGUUUGCAUCAGAUAAAUCACAACAAAGAUGUGGUAAGUUAGAUGUCUUGAAAUGGCUAUAUUUUCUUUUAGUGAACACAUCACGGGCAUGGGUUUGUCCGUUUCUGACGGGGUGAUAAAUAUUGCAGACAAAAUGGACGUCUGCUUGCCUGCACAACCAAUGUGACAUAUAUUGAUGAAUAAAACUUAAUCAAGUAUGUGUAUUUCGCUGAAAAUGAUUGACCAGCGAUAAAAUGUUAUUCAGACAAAAUUGCCAGCCAUAUGAAAACAAUGCAGCCUCAACAGCAUGCAGUUGCUAGCAUUAUUGGUUGUGUUCUGGUCACCGUUAGGCAUGCCAAUUUACCUAUGAUAAUACAGUAAAUCGUUUACAGUCCCAUACGUUUUGUAUAUCCUACCAUGAGAGAAAUAUACACCAGGAUUGCAUUAACUACUCCCGGUGUGCACGAUUAACUUCGGGUCUGAUUAACUUGGAUGGCAUAAAGAGCUGUUCACGUCAGAGGAGACAGGAUGGGGCGUCUUAAGUUCUAUUAUACACUUUGGAAACUGCAUUACGGUUCGACGAGAGGACCAUGCCGUCGCACUUUUGCCGUUGUUAUUGUGCGCGAUUGUAUUCUCAAACACUUCAGCUGUGGUCAAUUCAAAUAGUCGAUUCGUGAGUGUGCUAAGCACUUCGAUAAGUUGUAGGUGACCAUCCCUAGUUGAUCGGACGACCCAAAGUUAAUCGUGCUCAACGUCAUAAGCUGGGACACACACACACACACACAGUGCCAUUGUUAAUUGAUCAAUGGUGAUGUCUUUUCUCUCUCUCGCUCUCUCCAUUAUUAGGUGACCCAAGACCCACGGUUAUAUAAGGGUGGGGAUGUGAAAUGACUGAGAACCUAUUAUCAAGGAGGUGUAUGAAGAAACGACAGCAUAGAGGACCCAGCACAUCCCCUCACAGAUUCCAUGCCUUUCAAAAUAUUAGAACAAGAUUUCAAGGCAUUUUCC